This 234-nucleotide unclassified non-coding RNA is filed under the name Filobasidium wieringae. RNAcentral describes it as "partial internal transcribed spacer 2". Lineage: Eukaryota; Fungi; Basidiomycota; Tremellomycetes; Filobasidiales; Filobasidiaceae. The record is from RNAcentral.
ACCUCUCAAACCCAAGUUUUGGAUUUAUCCUUGCUUGAGUUUGGAUUUGGGUGUUUGCCAGUGAUGAACUGACUCACCUUAAAAGUAUUAGCUAGAUCUGUCUUUGACUGGUUUGACUUGGCAUAAUAAGUAUUUUGCUAAGGACAUCUUCGGAUGGCCAGGACUUGACUUUUGUCUGCUUACUAAACCUUACUUUAAGUGCAUCUCUGGUGUUACUUAUAGUAUUACUUUGAC